This 608-nucleotide ribosomal RNA is filed under the name Lambertella corni-maris. RNAcentral describes it as "eukaryotic LSU rRNA". It matches the Rfam family "Eukaryotic large subunit ribosomal RNA", at positions 34 to 656 of the family's 3401-position model. The record is from RNAcentral. Lineage: Eukaryota; Fungi; Ascomycota; Leotiomycetes; Helotiales; Rutstroemiaceae.
UUGCAUAUCCAAAUAAGCGGAGGAAAAGAAACCAACAGGGAUUGCCUCAGUAACGGCGAGUGAAGCGGCAAAAGCUCAAAUUUGAAAUCUGGCUCUUUCAGGGUCCGAGUUGUAAUUUGUAGAAGAUGUUUCGGGUGUGGUCCCAGUCUAAGUUCCCUGGAACUGGACAUCACAGAGGGUGAGAAUCCCGUAUGUGACUGGGUACCUACGUCCAUGUGAAACUCUUUCGACGAGUCGAGUUGUUUGGGAAUGCAGCUCAAAAUGGGUGGUAAAUUUCAUCUAAAGCUAAAUAUUGGCCAGAGACCGAUAGCGCACAAGUAGAGUGAUCGAAAGAUGAAAAGCACUUUGGAAAGAGAGUUAAACAGUACGUGAAAUUGUUGAAAGGGAAGGGCAUGCAAUCAGACUUGCGCCUAGUUGAUCAUCCGGGCUUUUGCCCGGUGCACUCGAUUAGGCUCAGGCCAGCAUCAGUUUAGAGGGUUGGAUAAAGGCCUUGGGAAUGUGGCCCCUCUCGGGGGGUGUUAUAGCCCAAGGUGCAAUGCAGCCACUCUGGACUGAGGACCGCGCUUCGGCUAGGAUGCUGGCGUAAUGGUUGUAUGCCGCCCGUCUUA